RNAcentral lists this ribosomal RNA (253 nucleotides) under uncultured bacterium. Its description in RNAcentral is "partial 16S ribosomal RNA". It matches the Rfam family "Bacterial small subunit ribosomal RNA", at positions 524 to 776 of the family's 1533-position model. The record is from RNAcentral.
UACAGAGGGUGCAAGCGUUGUUCGGAAUUAUUGGGCGUAAAGCGCGUGUAGGCGGCUUUGCAAGUCGGGUGUGAAAGCCCAGGGCUCAACCCUGGAAGUGCAUUCGAUACUGCUUAGCUUGAGUGCGAGAGAGGUUAAUAGAAUACCUGGUGUAGUGGUGAAAUACGUAGAUAUCAGGUGGAACACCGGAGGCGAAGGCGGUUAACUGGCUCGACACUGACACUGAGACCCGAAAGUGCGGGGAUCAAACAGG